CCUACGGGUGGCAGCAGUGGGGAAUAUUGGACAAUGGGGGCAACCCUGAUCCAGCCAUGCCGCGUGUGUGAAGAAGGCCCUCGGGUUGUAAAGCACUUUCAGUGAGGAAGAACGCCUGGUGGUUAAUACCCAUCAGGAAAGACAUCACUCACAGAAGAAGCACCGGCUAACUCCGUGCCAGCAGCCGCGGUAAUACGGAGGGUGCGAGUGUUAAUCGGAAUUACUGGGCGUAAAGCGCGCGUAGGUGGCUUGAUAAGCCGGUUGUGAAAGCCCCGGGCUCAACCUGGGAACGGCAUCCGGAACUGUCAAGCUAGAGUGCAGGAGAGGAAGGUAGAAUUCCCGGUGUAGCGGUGAAAUGCGUAGAGAUCGGGAGGAAUACCAGUGGCGAAGGCGGCCUUCUGGACUGACACUGACACUGAGGUGCGAAAGCGUGGGUAGCAAACAGGAUUAGAUACCCGUGUAGUC
RNAcentral lists this ribosomal RNA (465 nucleotides) under Vreelandella stevensii. RNAcentral describes it as "partial 16S ribosomal RNA". It matches the Rfam family "Bacterial small subunit ribosomal RNA", at positions 338 to 795 of the family's 1533-position model. The record is from RNAcentral. Lineage: Bacteria; Pseudomonadati; Pseudomonadota; Gammaproteobacteria; Oceanospirillales; Halomonadaceae.